GAUGAAGAACGCAGCGAAACGCGAUAAGUAAUGUGAAUUGCAGAAUUCAGUGAAUCAUCGAAUCUUUGAACGCACAUUGCGCCCCCUGGUAUUCCGGGGGGCAUGCCUGUUCGAGCGUCAUUUCACCACUCAAGCCUCGCUUGGUAUUGGGCAACGCGGUCCGCCGCGUGCCUCAAAUCGACCGGCUGGGUCUUCUGUCCCCUAAGCGUUGUGGAAACUAUUCGCUAAAGGGUGUUCGGGAGGCUACGCCGUAAAACAACCCCAUUUCUAAGGUUGACCUCGGAUCAGGUAGGGAUACCCGCUGAACUUAAGCAUAUCAAUAAGCGGAGGA
Molecule: unclassified non-coding RNA, 331 nt
Filed under: soil metagenome
Description: partial contains 5.8S ribosomal RNA, internal transcribed spacer 2, and large subunit ribosomal RNA
Rfam family: 5.8S ribosomal RNA (bases 1-120)
Source: RNAcentral